AACAGGAUUAGAUACCCUGGUAGUCCACGCCGUAAACGAUGAUAACUAGCUGUCCGGGGUUCAUGGAACUUGGGUGGCGCAGCUAACGCAUUAAGUUAUCCGCCUGGGGAGUACGGUCGCAAGAUUAAAACUCAAAGGGAUUGACGGGGGCCUGCACAAGCGGUGGAGCAUGUGGUUUAAUUCGAGGCAACGCGCAGAACCUUACCAGCGUUUGACAUCCUGAUCGCGGAUUAGAGAGAUCUUUUCCUUCAGUUCGGCUGGAUCAGUGACAGGUGCUGCAUGGCUGUCGUCAGCUCGUGUCGUGAGAUGUUGGGUUAAGUCCCGCAACGAGCGCAACCCUCAUCCCUAGUUGCCAUCAUUCAGUUGGGCACUCUAAGGAAACUGCCGGUGAUAAGCCGGAGGAAGGUGGGGAUGACGUCAAGUCCUCAUGGCCCUACGCGCUGGGCUACACACGUGCUACAAUGGCAACUACAGUGGGCAGCGACCUCGCGAGAGGUAGCUAAUCUCCAAAAGUUGUCUCAGUUCGGAUUGUUCUCUGCAACUCGAGAGCAUGAAGGCGGAAUCGCUAGUAAUCGCGGAUCAGCAUGCCGCGGUGAAUACGUUCCCAGGCCUUGUACACACCGCCCGUCACACCAUGGGAGUUGGUUUCACCCGAAGGCAGUGCUCUAACCCGCAAGGGAGGAAGCUGACCACGGUGGGAUCAGCGACUGGGGUGAAGUCGUAACAAGGUAACCGUAAAU
Molecule: ribosomal RNA, 740 nt
Filed under: uncultured endophytic bacterium
Lineage: Bacteria
Description: bacterial SSU rRNA
Rfam family: Bacterial small subunit ribosomal RNA
Source: RNAcentral